This is an RNA transcript of Nycticebus coucang (slow loris), 1690 nucleotides long. It is a transcript of the gene named integrator complex subunit 14-like, with no coding region annotated. The transcript has a single exon. The record is from RefSeq and is a predicted model, not a curated record. NCBI's taxonomy places the organism in Eukaryota, Metazoa, Chordata, Mammalia, Primates, Lorisidae.
AACCAAGAAGCAGUGAAUCAGAAAAAGGGAGAAUGAUUACAGAGGAUUACUGAGAAAAGUGGACUGUAAGCAUUUCUCUGUUUAUAGCUGGCUGCCUGUUUGCUUUCUGAGUGAGAACACUGGGAUCAUUUUCAUCAUGCCAACAGUGGUGGUAAGGGGUGUAUCUCUUUCCAUGACCUGACCUGUGUCUAUCGAGGGGUCUGAAGAAUACCAGCAUAAGCACCUAGAAGCCUAUGGUUUGACAAUGCUAUUUGAGCACAUGGCCACAAAUUACAAGCUUGAAUUUACAGCCUUGGUAGUUUUUUCAUCACUUUGGGAGCUGAUGGUCCCCUUCACAAGGAAUUAUAAUACCUUACAGGAAGCACUAAGUAAUAUGGAUGAUUAUGACAAAACCUGCUUGGAAUCUGCAUCAGUUGGUGUUUGCAAUAUCGUUCAGCAAGAGUGGGGUGGUGCAAUUCUUUGCCAGGUUGUUCUGGUGACAGAUGGCUGUCUUGGCAUUGGUAGAGGGUCACUAUGACAUUCCCUAGCUACUCAAAAUCAACAAAGUGAGAACAACAGGUUUCCACUACCUUUUCCUUUCCCGUCUAAGUUAUAUAUCAUGUGCAUGGCAAAUUUGGAGGAGCUUCAGAGCACCGAUUCCUUAGAAUGCCUUGAACGUCUCAUAGAUUUAAACAAUGGUGAGGGGAAGAUUUUUACUAUUGAUGGUCCCCUGUGUUUGAAAAAUGUACAGUCUAUGUUUGGAAAACUGAUAGACCUGGCAUAUACACCUUUCCAUGCUGUUCUCAAAUGUGGUCAUCUAACCGCUGAUGUACAAGUCUUCCCCAGGCCAUAACCUUUUGUUGUAGAUGAAGAAAUUUAUCCUAUCCCUAAAGUCAUUAAUACAGAUUUGGAAAUAGUGGGAUUUAUUGAUAUAGCCAAUAUUUCAAGUCCCCCAGUUCUGUCCAGACAUCUGGUCUUACCUGUAGCACUUAACAAAGAAGGCAAUGAGGUGGGUACUGGCAUCACUGAUGACAAUGAAGAUGAAAAUUCAGCCAAUCAGAUUGCAGGCGAAAUACCCAACUUUUGUGUCCUGCUUCAUGGCAAUCUAAAAGUAGAAAGAAUGGUGACAAUUGUUCAGUUAGGUCCUGAAUGGCAUGGAAUGCUGUACUCCUAAGUGACAGCAAGAAGAAAUCAAAUCUCAUGAUGUCUCUUUGAGCCUGGCCCAGAACCUCUCCUAUGGCUAGGGAAAAUUGCACAGUUGGGUCCUAUUUCAGAUGCUAAAGAAAACCCUUAUGGUGAGGAUGACAAUAAGAGCCCAUUUCCCCUGCAGCCCCCAAACAAACACAGUUAUGCCCAGAAUGUGACUGUCUGGAUCAAACCUAGUGGCCUGCAGACAGAUGUACAGAAGAUUUUGAGAAAUGCAAGGAAGCUACCUGAAAAAACACUGACAGUCUAUAAGGAGCUAAACAAUUUACAAAAGGCUGCGUUGGCCUUCAGUUUCCUGGACCUGCUGAAAGGGAUGGCUGACAUGCUGGAAAGAGAGUACACACUGCUGCCCGAUACUGCCUACCCCAAUGCUGCAUUCCAGCUGACCUAUACUGCCCAGCAGCUCAAGCUGGCCAGUAUGGGCACCUCCGAGCAUGCAGCUUAUGACCAGAAUGUCACACCUUUGCAUACACACUUUUCUGGGAGCAGCAUGGACAAAAUGUGA